UGCACCAGACUUCUGUGUCUUUUUGGCAUGGUUUUUACAGCUGGAUGCCCUUCCUAACACCAACCACCCCGCAGAAGUGGUCCGAGUGCUUUUUACGUGGCACCAGCACAUGUGAGGUCAGUUUUGACAUGGUUUUUACAGCUGGACGCCCUUCCAAAUGC
This is a long non-coding RNA of Octopus sinensis (East Asian common octopus), 161 nucleotides long. RefSeq lists it as uncharacterized. The record is from RefSeq and is a predicted model, not a curated record. NCBI's taxonomy places the organism in Eukaryota, Metazoa, Mollusca, Cephalopoda, Octopoda, Octopodidae. The transcript is spliced from 3 exons.